CCCUGUCUUUUUUCAUCCCUCCUCCCAAAGUGUUUUCUUCUGCUUUUGCACGAUGUGUAUUUGGUUAUCCUUAAACUUCCACGGGUGGGAACAAAGCGAUCAGUGUUUGCAGGAUAAGAAAAGAGUUUGCCUUCGGGCGAAAAGGAGAACUGAAGCUGCUGCUACACCGCGCUGAUGGGCGCUGGAGACCGGGUUUCCAUGGCGACUCCUGGGUUGGAACGCAAGCCGUGUUGUCUCUAUGACAACGCCCGGAAGUACGUCAUUGGGAUAGGAUUCGAAUCAGGUGCGGCCAGGCGCGGCGUGCGGCGCUGAUUCAUGGGGUAUUUCAUAGGAAUCCCUUUGGGCCCUCAAUGCUCCUUAAUUUAAGUAAUUUUAUAUAUCGAUGACUGGAUCAUCUUUUAAUAAAGGACUAUGGACAUUUUUAACUAUGGACGGAGGCUCUGUUUACAGUGACCAUGGUAACUGACACCGAGGGCCGGAGCAGGUUGAAGACGCGCUCCCGACUUGUACAAAUCCGUGCGCCGGGUUACUAUGGAGACCAGGGCAAGGACGGUGUCAUCGGAAGCUGCGUCCUGAUGCGUCCGGUAACCAUGGCGACAACCCUGCAGUUCAACGGGCGGAAGUGACGAACAUGGACUUCCGGUUACCAUGGAAACCGGACGAUACGCGGAAACAGCAAGAAAGAUAGUGCCGCCCAAAAGGACGUUUGUAAUUGGUCAAAGGAUAGUUUAAAUAUGGGGAUUGUGACUGUGGGAUGGUAUACAGCCUUGAGAAAGACUCCAGGAAGGAGGAGUUGAAACGCGUUGGCGAGCUUAUCUGUGGUCAGUGUCCGGAGGGUGCCCUGCAGUUUCAAGUGCCAGUGAUUUUUCCAGCUUCCAGCCCGGGCGGUUUCUGGGAUUUAAAGAACUUGUCUGAGAACUUUUUGUGGGUUCUCAGACGCUCUGGUAAUUGUUCCGCAUUUUCCCCUCUGCAAACUGAUACAUCUAUACCAUCUCUUAAACAGUUUUGUUUUGUUUAUGUGUGUAUGUAAUA
Molecule: long non-coding RNA, 1032 nt
Organism: Pseudophryne corroboree (corroboree frog)
Lineage: Eukaryota; Metazoa; Chordata; Amphibia; Anura; Myobatrachidae
Exons: 3
Source: RefSeq, a predicted model, not a curated record